Molecule: ribosomal RNA, 428 nt
Filed under: uncultured bacterium
Lineage: Bacteria
Description: bacterial SSU rRNA
Rfam family: Bacterial small subunit ribosomal RNA
Source: RNAcentral
GUAGGGAAUAUUGCGCAAUGGACGAAAGUCUGACGCAGCGACGCCGCGUGAGUGAUGAAGGCCUUAGGGUCGUAAAGCUCUGUUGAAUGGGAAGAAAAAAAUGACGGUACCAUUCGAGGAAGGACCGGCUAACUUCGUGCCAGCAGCCGCGGUAAUACGAGGGGUCCUAGCGUUGUUCGGAAUCAUUGGGCGUAAAGGGUGUGUAGGUGGCCAUGUAAGUCAGGUGUGAAAGCCCCGGGCUCAACCCGGGAAGUGCACUUGAUACUGCGUGGCUUGAGUACCGAAGAGGGUAGUGGAAUUCCAGGUGUAGUGGUGAAAUACGUAGAUAUCUGGAGGAACACCGGUGGCGAAGGCGGCUACCUGGUCGAGUACUGACACUGAGACACGAAAGCAUGGGGAUCAAACAGGAUUGGAAACCCUGGUAGUCC